This is a long non-coding RNA of Microtus oregoni (creeping vole), 358 nucleotides long. RefSeq lists it as uncharacterized. Lineage: Eukaryota; Metazoa; Chordata; Mammalia; Rodentia; Cricetidae. The transcript is spliced from 3 exons. The record is from RefSeq and is a predicted model, not a curated record.
CACCAAAGACUGCAGUUUCCACCUCAAAAAUUUUCUACAGCAUAAAUUCCUAAAGAUUUAACAGCAUGUCUCAAUCGGUACAGAGGAAUCCUGUUCAUGGCCCUAACUCCUGGCACCAAAGCAGCGAUUUUCCAGAAUGGCAACUCUUGAAAUGCAGAAAACCCCACUUCGAAUUCUGUGAAGAAGGACUCCUGACAGAACAGGAAAAGUCACUGCGACCUUCUCGCUCGACUCUCACAUUCCAGGUAUCAGAGAGCUCACAAGACUGACCGUAAGAAGCUUUCUCUGGCGUUAAAAGGACUGUACAAUUUAAUAUAAUGCUCUUAGUUCUUUCUCCAAAUUGUAUUUUCUUCACGUA